UUAAAGAAAAAAAUACCUACCUCAUAGGGUUUUUGUAAAGACUGAAUAAUAGAAUGUAUGGUAAGCAUAUACCAUGAAUGGAACAUAAUCAGCACUUAUAUAGUAACCAUUAUUGUGCUUGUUAUUAUUCACAAAGUGAUAUUACUUGCCAUUAAUGACUUUGGAAAUGGAGGGUUCAAACAAAGAACAAGAUGUUGAAUGGCAUAGGCAACCAGUACCUUUAGAAAUAAUAGGAAAGUUAGUUACUGCUAUACUGCACUAGCCCUUGAAAAAAAUGUGUAGUGUUUAAAGAAAUUGCCUGCUAAACUUCUGUAUGGCUUCAGUAAAAAAAAUUAUGUUCCAUUUUCACAGCAUGAAAGAAGCAGUUAAAGCAAGAAAAGUGCAUUUAGAAGUUUGAAGAGUGCAAGUGUCUGAUGGGUUGAGAAAUGAGAUUAACCCUUCACUGACUAGUGCUCCAUUUUCUGUCAGAGUAAAUUCUUUAGGAAAAAAGUGUUAUGAUGGCUCAUGGGAGCAAAAUAGUGACAGUGUCCUCUUGGUUGUUUUAUUUCACCCUGAGGUCCAUUGUUUUGUCAAAAGAAGCUACCUUUCCUAGUCAAUCUGCUUUUUGGUAAGAUUUUUCUUAAAGUAUGCAGUUGACAUAAUUAAGUGUGGUUUUGAGGUUACCUUGUAUAUUCCAAGGUGAGACCUCCAUAGGAUCUAAUUAUUUUUUUUUCAUUGAAAAGAUGUUUCACAGACAGAAGCUAUAGAUCAAGACUCAUUACAAAGGUAUCUCAUUAUUUUUAAUGAGCAAUUCCAUUAUUUCUGACUCUGCUGAGAGCAGGACAUAAUUCUGUUAAGGAGAGAAUCUUGUUAAAAUUUCUUAGUCAGAAACAUAGAGCUUCCAGUCAAACUCUGCAGUCCCGAAUACUAAGUUUAAAGACAUAAUACUAUAUGUCUAUGUGGGCUUCACAAAGGUGUGAUGAUAUAGGGAGCAUACUUCCUUUGAAGAAAUAAUUAGAUAUUGUGUGAUUCAGUGUUAUUUAUAGGUCUUUGAAAUUCUAAAAAUGAGCAAUUUUUAGCAAACAUUCUUAGUAUUUAAAUUCAUUGAACUAGUCAAAAAUUAAUCAUCUGAUAACCCAAAGAUUUUGUUUGGGGUCUUAGAAAUCCUUAUUUUCUUCCUGACUUUUGGGAUCUAUCUCUUGUUAAAAUUUAGAUAUGUAAUGAGUUCAUCUAAAAAUUUAUGGAACAAGAUCAGUAAAAGGAAAGAAAGAAAGGGGGUCAUAUAUUUUUAGGGCAGGGGAAAGAAUGAUUUACAGAAGAGAAGAAGAUAAAACUGAACAGAGAAGGGAAAAAUAAUGUUCACAUAAAUUGCUUAUCACUGAUACCCUGAAAGUGAACCAUCUUGUAGUAAAUACCUCCAAUCUAUUGUUCCCAUAGCCUACAAAAGGAGAAAGGAACCCAAGUGUAAUUCAACACUUGUUAUUGUAUUAUGCUUAGUGAUAAGGAUAUGUGGGAAAUAAGCAAAUAUUUCUGUUUAAAAUUAUAGAGUGUGUUUGUACGUGGACGUGAGUGGUGCGGGAUGUGUGUGGUGCAGGAGACUCUAUGAAGAAGAAUAGUAGGAAUGAGUAGGUGAGAAUGUAGUAAUUAUAAUUAUAAUAGAGAAGAAAGGCAUACAAGCUGUUUCAUGAUAGCUUAAUUCCAUUUGUAUUUUGCAAACAGAAUGAUGCCCUCCAAAGGUAAAGGUUUU
This 1726-nucleotide long non-coding RNA is filed under the name Canis lupus familiaris (dog). RNAcentral's name for it is "lncRNA (ENSCAFG00000053562.1)". The record is from RNAcentral. Lineage: Eukaryota; Metazoa; Chordata; Mammalia; Carnivora; Canidae.